AUUUUGUUUAUGGCCAGUUUUGGGGCCAGUUUAUGGCCAGAUUUUGGGGGGCCUGUUCCCAACAGUGACAGAGUGGGAGAAUGUGAUUAGUGAGUAGUUCUUUCCACCAACUUGAAGAGUCCCAUCAAUGUCCUGCUCUGAGGGAUGGAGGAAGGUGGGAAGAGUCUGUGAAAAAAGAACAGCAGGAAUUCAGGGUGAAGAAGAUGUGGACUGUGUCUCCACCAAGAAAAUCUCUGGGGAUAAUGCUUCAUUUACAAGAGUGUCCCCGCAAAAGACAACAUAAUGUAAUCACAUAUUACCAACAAUUCCAUGACAACGAUGCAGUGGUUUUAAAAUGACUUCCAAAUAAAGGCUUAAUUAUAGCAAGCUAUAAAAAAAUUAAACAAGAUACAAUAAUGGCACUAAAAUUAAAUUAAGGAAAAAUAGCACAGUACAUAGAGAUGUGAAUAGAAAUGAA
RNAcentral lists this long non-coding RNA (457 nucleotides) under Pan troglodytes (chimpanzee). RNAcentral's name for it is "lncRNA (ENSPTRG00000053666.1)". Lineage: Eukaryota; Metazoa; Chordata; Mammalia; Primates; Hominidae. The record is from RNAcentral.